This 71-nucleotide transfer RNA is filed under the name Loxodonta africana (African savanna elephant). It matches the Rfam family "tRNA". Rfam says of the family: Transfer RNA (tRNA) molecules are approximately 80 nucleotides in length. Their secondary structure includes four short double-helical elements and three loops (D, anti-codon, and T loops). Lineage: Eukaryota; Metazoa; Chordata; Mammalia; Proboscidea; Elephantidae. The record is from Rfam by way of RNAcentral.
GCAGGGGUGGUUCAGUGGCAGACUUCUUGCCUUCCAUGUGGGACACCAGGGUUCGAUUCCCGGCCAAUGCA